This 458-nucleotide ribosomal RNA is filed under the name uncultured bacterium. Its description in RNAcentral is "partial 16S ribosomal RNA". It matches the Rfam family "Bacterial small subunit ribosomal RNA", at positions 338 to 795 of the family's 1533-position model. The record is from RNAcentral.
CCUACGGGAGGCAGCAGUGAGGAAUAUUGGUCAAUGGGCGAGAGCCUGAACCAGCCAAGUCGCGUGAGGGAGUACUGCCCUAUGGGUUGUAAACCUCUUUUGUCGGGGAGCAAAAGCCGGACGUGUCCGGCUGUGAGAGUACCCGAAGAAAAAGCCUCGGCUAACUCCGUGCCCGCAGCCGCGGUAAUCCGGAGGAUGCGAGCGUUCUCCGGAUCUAUUGGGUUUAAAGGGGUCGCAGGCGGAUUGUUAAGUCAGCGGUAAAAUCGUGGGGCGCAAACCCAUCCAGCCGUUGAAACUGGGGAUCUAGAGUGUGCGAGAGGUAUGCGGAAUGCGUGGUGUAGCGGUGAAAUGCAGAGAUAUCACGCAGAACCCCGAUUGCGAAGGCAGCAUACCGGUGCACAACUGACGCUCAGGCACGAAAGCGUGGGUAUCGAACAGGAUUAGAUACACCGGUAGUC